RNAcentral lists this long non-coding RNA (1423 nucleotides) under Canis lupus familiaris (dog). RNAcentral describes it as "lncRNA (ENSCAFG00040004126.1)". The record is from RNAcentral. Lineage: Eukaryota; Metazoa; Chordata; Mammalia; Carnivora; Canidae.
GGCGCCGACGGGCCGCGCGGGGAGGAGCUGGCGGGGCCGCGCGGGCUCACUCACGGGCGGGCCGGGGCUCGUCGGGGCGCCCCCCGGGGCGGCGGCGGCGGCGGCGGCGGCGGCGGAGCGGGAGCCCGAGCCCGAGCCCGAGCGGCGCGGGCGGCGGCGCAUCGAUGCGCUGCGGGCUCGAUUGCGUCUCCCUGGGCCAGCUCCUGGGCCGGGAAUGGGGCGGCCGCGGCGGGGCUGGCUCGGGGCGCUGCCGGGCGGCGCUGGCGGGGCUGCGGGGGCGGCCGCCGGGCCGCGGUCCGGGGGGCGGGGGGGGCUGCUCCCGCGCGCUCCGGCGGGGCCGGGGGGGCUGCCCUGGACCCCGCGCCCCGCAGUCCCGGCGAGGGCCGGCCGGAGCCCCGCGCCCUGGGACUGGCUGCCGGCGCGCUCCCGGAGCUGCAAGCCCCGGCCUCCUUCCUUUUUCCUUUUUCCCCUUCCUUCCUCCUUCCUCCUCCCCCCCGUUUUUUUUCUUUUUUUUUUUUAGUUUCCUUUUCUUGCGUUUCUUUCCCCGUCUUCCUCGGCCCCCCUCGCCGUCCCUUUUCCUUUGUGGCUGUCUGUGCAAGUUUGUUUCAAAAGUUCACGGGCACCUUUCACGCUUUCUUUUCUUCUAGACCCGGGAGACCGCGGUCUCACCCAGACGGCAGGAUCGCUCGGCCCCGCUCGCCCCCACCCGCGGGCCUGCGCUCGGGCCACCCGCCUCCCGGUGCAGAUGCGCGGCGGCCGGCCUCCCGCCUCGGGCCGUAAGGGCGCGCGCAGGGGCGCUCGGAGCUGCGGGGUGCGGGGUGCGGGCCCCGCGCGGCGGCGGGGGAGGCGGAGGCGGCGGCGGGCUGCGGGGGGCGGCGGGGGGGGGGCGCGGCGAGCGGCGGCGGGAGCCGCUGCCCCCCUCCAGGCCCCGGAGACGCGGCCGCGGGGCGUGAAACGCUUCUUGCGAACGAGGAAACGGCUCGCUCUGGCUCUCCACCAGCGGCGCCCCCUUCUGCUCCAUCUCUGCAGCCAGGAGCACAGCGUGCAAGGGAGACGUGCUGAUCCAGGGUCUGGAUUGUCAGCGUGGAUGAUUAAAUACCUACUGAGCACAGGACACAGAGCCGGUCGAGACAGACGCUGGCGUGCACGCCCCUCACUGCCACGCUGUGCAUCGUGGGGUGUCAGGAAGAGGUCAGAUGUGAAUGUGGUCUUUGGAGAAAGGAUCCCCAGGCUAGGGUCCUGCGGGUCGAGGGACACCCUGUGGUCCAGGCAGCCUCAGUGGCUCAGAGUCGACACAUUUCCGUGUGGUCCUUGGCCUGGCCUGCAUGUGAUUGGGCGGAUGUCCCAAGGAGCUGAGUGUUGCCCGAACCCAGCUGUCUCGACGCUCCUGUGGGUAAGGGGCGUCCUGACCAUGUCUGUCUGA